Molecule: long non-coding RNA, 3483 nt
Organism: Peromyscus eremicus (cactus mouse)
Lineage: Eukaryota; Metazoa; Chordata; Mammalia; Rodentia; Cricetidae
Exons: 2
Source: RefSeq, a predicted model, not a curated record
GUGUGUGUGUGUGUGCGCGCGCGCGCGCGCUUUAGUUUCUGAACACAUCACAUAGCCUUAUUAGCAAAAGAUAAAUGGCGCAAGAAGUAUAUACCUCAGUUAGAAAUUAGGGUGGGGUUUGUGUGUCCUGGUACUUCUGUUUACUGUAGUGGUGGGUAAUUGGUAGAUAUUUUCAUUGUUAGUUUGUCUCUUUAAAUAUUACCUCCUGAGUAAAUACCUUGCUUUGCUGACGGCAUAGCCACCAACUCUGCUCUUUCCCUAAGCAUGGAAAGUCCAGUCGAGUUCACUGAAGCUGAGUCAGCUUCAGCCUGGCUGCUCCCCAGCUCUGUACCUGCCAUUUCUCCUCACCUCACACUGUACAAUAAGAAAACUUGCAAAACCAAAGCAAAGUGCCAUCCAAACAGUAAUGACUAAUUGCCUUCCCAGUCUGCUUGGAUACCACUCAUCAAGACCUUAUGGAAGAAAGUGUCAACCUUCCUCCUCUCUGCCUUCAACUGUCAACGUUGACACAAAUUUCAGCAAAAACCAUGUAGUGUAGAAAUGCAUUUCUAGGUUUGGGUCCCCAUUAUUGUCUCUGGGAAGAGUUCUGGAGUGGAGCAACAACGUAUGAUCAGGCCAGCUUGUCCCUUUUGUCUGGCCAGGUGUUUGGGGAGUUGCCACAGGGUAGAAGGAGGAAGUCCAAACGGCCAAAGCCUGAAGUUUGCCUUCCCAGAAGCGUUUAAACACCCAGGUUUUCCUAUACUCUACCAACUCUGUUUGGCUUUUCCUCCAUAGUCUUAGUAACUUGGUGUUAAAACUUGAAGAGUGAUUAGUUUGAAAGCAUAGUUUGCAGGUUAACUAGCCCUUUAUAUUUUUAAAUUAUAUACAGAGAUUAUAUAUUGAGAUUAUAUACAGAAUAGUCUAGUGCAGUAGUCCAAAGGAGCAUCACAGUUGCUAGUUUCCAUUUGCGGAGGGAUCCGACCCGUCAGUACAGUUGCUGAAAUGCUUCCCUUCUUGGGUAUCAUUACCUUAAUGGCUGUUGGCUUGAAGCCAUUUUAGGCUGUGUGUGACUCGACUCUAGUGAUGACUGAGAGGCAUUGGAAGCGACAGAACAUGUUCCCAAACAGAUAUGUGCCAAGCUCUAACCCCUCUGAGCUCCCUCGCCUUCCUGUUUGUUUAAUGCCCAGUUUUUACUUCCCUGUCUUUCACCUGCUGAAAGUCUGAUCAUUUUUAGUAGACAAGGACCAUAUGGUUCCAAUCAUUCUCUAGUACAGGGAUGGGAUGAGGAGGUUUGGGGCAGAGAGAUUGGCUAGUGAGAUCCUUGGUGCUGAGGCUCUAGAUGUUGAUUUUAAGUGGGAGUGAUUAACAGCCCCACAGUUCACAAAGUAGUUUUAAUGAUUAACACUCAGGUAUGCUUCUGACAUCGAAUUGUGACCUUUGAAAGUAGCACCAUCACUGACGUAUGACACCCCAAGGGAGAAGCUAGAAAAUGGUUUGCUAGGUGUAUUGAAGUGCUUUAGAUGCAUCAAAGUUUUGCUUUAUUGGAAAUAUGCUAGAAGGCUAUAGCCAAAUUAUUCCGGGUUUCUGAAUGAACAAAGACCACAGACACAAAAUCAAGUCCAUUAAGUUACUAAUAAGCAUUUUUCCACACUAACAUUAGACCUGAAAAUACUGCCAAGAAAUUUUUCUUCCAUUAUGAGGUGUUCAGUGUAAUAUUUAACAUUUCAGCCAGUAGGUGUUUAAGCCAUUUGAAGAGUCAAGAUAUAUAAUCCAAAGUGUUACAGUGUUCCCUGAGCAUUGAGAGCGAAGCCACAGUUCAUUGCGGACCUGUAGUUAGAUCCACAGACAUAAUGACGCGCACUGGAGGGCUACUGCAUGCUUUAAAGAGCCUGUGCUUAACCAUCCAUUUCCAGCUAAAUUAAAGAUCAUUGUAUUCAAAAUCCCCAUUUGGAUUCAAGCCAGGCUAGCUUUCUUGUUCACAGACUUGACUAUGGAGUAACCUUGAAUACAUGUUCAGCAAGUCUAGUUUUCGAUAACAUACAUGAAGCUUUUCAGAAGUAUGGAUUGCCCCUCUGACCUGGAAGGAAACUUAGGCCAGAAAGACCUGCAUCAAACACUUUGGAGAUCUCUUGUUCUUGCCAUCUCCCUUUCACAGUGAGAUAGCUUGAUUUUUAGAAUUGUGUAUGCUUUCUUGGUUCCUUUUCUAUAAAUCUAGAACACAGAAAUUGUAUUAAAAAGGGAAAAUGUAUUUAGAAGGGUGUUUCUCAAGAGCACAGAAUUACUGGCUGAGGCAAGUGUUUCUGAAUAGAGAUAAUUGGGCCCUCUACAUAGAAAUGCUAGAAAAUUAAAUUAGGUUCAAAGAGAAUCAAAUUACACCAAAGCUGAGAUAAGGUCUCUGCUGAGAAGAGGUUUUACUGUGGCCCAGGUUAGCCUAGAGACGUCCAACCUAAGGGCAGAAUUCUACAGAGGAGUAGCGUGGGCUCACUGACCUAUAUAUCCAGUUAAAACCAGCUUUCCCACCUGACCAUUAGGUUAAAACUUGAAAGUACGUUUUGGGCUUAGCUCAGAAAGUGGAUAUGGCAUCUGGUACUUCUGUCAUUCAACUCAAUAUGAAAAAAGUUUAAAGCAGUCCUGGAGGUAGUGGUAUCACAGAAUGCACAGGGCACACUGUCUCCACCUUCAGAUCUCAAUCAAAUUCCCACGGGAGUCUGAAAUGUUCAACCCUAAGGAAGACUUCUGACCAGCCUGGACACUUGAACAAAAAUGGUCAGCAUGAGAGCCACCUGCUGGUAAUUACUGUGCAGUUUCUGUGGACGAAUCUGCUUUAGCUUAAGGUGGAGAAGAGGGUCCCUUAUACCAUAGGAUGAUUCUUAUCUGAUUUAUGAAGGAAAUACAUGACAUUGAGAGGUGGUCAUAGUAAAACAGGCAAUGGAGAAAUUCCCUUAUUUAAGCACAUCAAAUAUUUAACUGCCCCAAGAGAUGUAGAAGACAGGACUGCCAAGGCCGUUUUUCGAGAUUUUGUAUGAUUGUCUUUUGCCUGUAUGUUUAGAUGUGCGCCAUAUGUGUGCCCAUUACCUGUGGAGGACAGAAGAGGGCGUCAGAAUUGGAGUUAGAGAUGGUUGGUAGCUGCCAUUUGGGUGCUGAGAACUGAACUCAGGCAUUCUCCAAGAGCAGCAAGUACUUUUCACCAGUUAGUCUUCUCUCCAGCCUGUACUGGCAAGUCAGACUGUAUUUGUCAGGAUUAGUGACAACUGCUACAAAAGAUGGGUUUGGUGAAAACGAAGUAGAGCAUGACGUUGCUCCUAGGAACUAUUCUGUUAUAAACCAGUGCUACUUUAUGUGAAGUGGCUGGCGCUAUUCUUGCAGUUAUAUGAACUUUGCAUAUCAAAACAGAUGUCAGAAUGUCAAGGGAAAACAUGGUUUGGGGCUGAAGAGAUCUUGAUUUGAGUCCUGUAUCUGCUAUUUAUCAACAACAUGACAUGACAUUGGAGCUGUCUAGCCCUA